CGGGUGAGUAACACGUGGGUUAUCUGCCCUGGGGUGAGGAAUACCGGCGAGAAAUCGCCGACAAGACCGCAUACGCUUCGCAAGAAGCAAAGCCCCGCAAGGGGUGCCACAGGAUGAGCCUGCGGCCGAUUAGCUGGUUGGUGGGGUAACGGCCCACCAAGGCGACGAUCGGUAGCUGGUCUGAGAGGAUGAUCAGCCACACUGGGAUUGAGAACGGCCCAG
Molecule: ribosomal RNA, 222 nt
Filed under: uncultured bacterium
Lineage: Bacteria
Description: partial 16S ribosomal RNA
Rfam family: Bacterial small subunit ribosomal RNA
Source: RNAcentral